Rhineura floridana is the source of this 6048-nucleotide long non-coding RNA. RefSeq lists it as uncharacterized. NCBI's taxonomy places the organism in Eukaryota, Metazoa, Chordata, Lepidosauria, Squamata, Rhineuridae. The transcript is spliced from 4 exons. The record is from RefSeq and is a predicted model, not a curated record.
GUUGGGAAGUAAACUAAACCCCCUCUACUCCUGCUGCUGCUGUCGUUACCUUUAUGCUCGUCAUCCAAGUACCGUACCCGUAGCUCCUCCUCCCCCGCUUUCACCUCAGAACUGUAACCUCUCGUGGAUGAGGACAAGGCCGAGCAACGCUCGGGCGCCAAACCCCUCAGGCUCAAGCAGUCCAGAAACCAGGAAGAGAAAGAAGAGGAAACGGAGGUGCCAGUAGUUGCCACCGCAGCCAAACCCCCUCGACGCUGAACUAGGCUGAGAGCCGACGUCAUUGCUACUGUCGCCGCCAUGUUGCCUGUUUACAAGCCCGCGCCAAGCCAAGCAGCCCCCCUCCCUUUCCCAUCAGAAUCCACCGCUUUCUCCGCCUCUUCCCGCUAACACUGAACCACGUGAUCGCCCCCGCGUGCAACUGGGGCGCGGGUCCAGUCAGCUAGGACAGCAUGUGAUCCCUAAACGCGCGAAGUCAAAUCUCCUUUCAUCGCCCCCGCCCCAAUAGAGCGACCCAACUGACAGCGUCUCCCCUUCCCCAUACGCUCGCGCUAUAUCAUAGGCAGGAGGUGAUGAACAGCCUGAUUUUUAUUUGUAUGUGGUCCAGCGGAAGAUCCUCACUAAGUGAUACAUUUUGAUGUUCAAUGAGAUACAAGGAACUGUUUCAUCAGGAUCAAGAGAGACCAGGAGAUUCCUGUGAGGAGAGACUUCCCCUAUCAUGGAUUUUGGAAACAACAGAAUCUGAGGAAUAUGGGAGGUAAGAUUGGAUGGUGGGUGUCAUGGCCCCUUCGGAGGACUCAUCAGAUGAGGACGACUCAGGCGUAACAGCCACAGACCCAGAAGGGGGAAAAAAAGGAAACUCCUGAGAACGCAGCUCCUACUCCCCCUCAGCUGGAGAGCGUCCAAGACACAGCUGAAGCUCUUCAGCCAGAAUCAGACAGUGACCAGGAGGCUCCCCUCUGACCUGCAGAGCGAAGACGACAGAAAGUCAGGCAGCAGAGGGGCCGGCCUGUCCAUUAAAGGCCGGCAUGCUUGCAGAAGCCAGAGGGGUGAUUGUUCCCACCUGUCUGCAGAGGUGUUCUUUAAAAGACAGAACCUGGCUUCAAUGUGUUGCUGACUACGUCAGGUGUGACCACUGUGUGUCUUCCUAUCCCCUGAACCUUGACUUGGACUGAUCUCUCGGCAAACUGGACCCGAACCUUCACUGACGUUUCUUCUGGAUUUCUGGCUUGGCACCUGCUGGUUGACAUCUUUAUCAAGCUAUCCACUACGACCCCUGCGUCUCGUUCCUGGUCAGUCACUGCCAGUUCAGACCCUAUGAGUAUAUAUGUGAAAUUAAUAGACUUUGUUCCAAUAUGCAUAACUUUAUACGUGUUUACAUUGAAUUGCAUUUGCCAUUUUACCACCCAUUCAUUCAAUGUGGAGAGGUCCUUUUGGAGCUCUUCACAAUCCCUUUUCAUUUUAACAACCCUGAACAAUUUAGUGUCAUCAGCAAAUUUGGCCAUCUCACAGCUCACGCCAACUCAUGAACAAAUUAGAAAGUAAAGGUCCCAAUACUGAUCCUUGGGGGACUCCAUUUUCUACAUUCCUACACUGGGAGAACUGUCCAUUUAUUCCUGCUCUGUGCUUCCUGCUACUUAACCAAUUGCUGGUGUAUUUUUAAUUUAACUUUUUUUAAUUUAACUAUUUAUGAUCACAAUGAUGUAAUUUGGUAAACUGGUCUAAAACAUAAUGGCCACAAUUCUUUUGGAAGGAACCUUUUGGCAUUCCCAAGAGCUUCUGCAUAUACUUUGUUUUUGUCCUGUACCUGCUCCAGCAAUGCUUCAUUUAAAACUGCCUUUCAAACUCUACUGAGAUUCAAAAGCAGCUUGCCAAGCAGCACAGAGGGGAGUGGGCUUUGUGGGGGGAUAGGGACAGCACCCUCCAUUAUAACUAAUACAUAACUAAGAUAAUGGAGACAGUAAUCAGGACUGGCGUAUUUACAGGUUAAUGGAAAUGGACUGAACAACAUACCAGUUCUGUGCUUGUCACCAAGUGUUUAUUGGAACUGGCAACUUUCACACUUUAUAGUAACAGAACGACAAAAAAAUAAUGUUCACUAUAUACAGCCUUUGCACAGGCUACUUAACUAUACACAAGGCAUAGUGAUCAUGACAAUCUAGUCUUUAUAGUAAUCUGUGCACAAAAGGACACCAUCCAUCAGACAUUAUGUGAACAUUACAGUGAAAUGACAUCACAAGUCCAGUGAAAAUUCAGCAUAAUACAAAACAUAUCAAUCUACUGCAAAUGACAUCCUUUAAAACAAGCAUUUUUUCAGUAGUCAUUUAGCCAGAGUCUGAAGCAGAGAUGUGUUGUGUAGUUAUAAGUCUUUUAAGUGAAGCAACCUCUGCCGACAAAUUUGCUAUGCCCUGCUUCAAAUACAAGUUCUCUGUCUCUGACACUUUGUAGGAAUUGUCUUUAAUGUCAGCCACUCCAGCUUUGCAACCACUCUGAAUUUUUUCAGUGAAUUCUUUUUGAUGAUGCCAAUGUUCUGGUUUCAGAGACCAGUCUUGGAUAUUAGUCACUUGAACAGAAAAAGGAGUGUGAGAAGUAUGUACCAAAUUUUGCGCAUUGUGCUUUUCUAGUUCAAAAUGUCUUUUAGAAGACAUAUCAAUUGGUGAUGAUAAUUUCUGGGUAGCAUCAUAAUCAUUAUCCAAUGAUUCCACUUUGAUUUGCAUGGCCUUGGCCUUAAUUCUAAGCUUAUGAGGCAGUGCAGACGAGCUCACCUCUGGAACUUUAACUGUAGCAUGAUUAUUUUUAAGUUCAACGGGAGAGUGGAUUGGACCUUUAGGUACCUGCUGCUCAUCUUCUCCAUCUGAUGACUUUCCUACAACACCAUCAUCAGCCUCUGAAGUUCUUGGAGAAUUACUGGAGGAUCUGUUAACUUGCAACAGUGGAGGGGAAUGUGAGUAGCCACUAAAGUUGCUUCCCAUGAAGUUUGGGUACAUGGAUGUUGUAUAGGAGCCUCUUUCAUCUCGUGAAUCUCUUGCAUAGUUUUCCAGUUCCAUUGGCUCCUGCUUUAUGAUCUGGAACUUGUUUUCAGGAUUUCUGCAAUUAUUUUGUAUGGGGCUUGCUUGAGUAUGGUCUACUGAUGACACUUCAGAUACAUCAGAUAAAGAACUUUGUGGUGAGUGCUUAAUGACAGAUAUACAACUACUACCUACCAUAGGUGGUUCAUGUUCAUCCAUGAAAGAGUUAAUACCUGAUUUGGCAUUCUGAUACUCCUGAAAAUAAACAGUUGUUGAAUUGCUGAGCUUCUGAACCUCUUGGGCAUAUGCUGAAGAGCUAAUUAAACCAAACUUUAGCUUCAGUGAAAGCAACUCAGCUUUUAAAGUGGCAUUUUCUUCUCCCAGUGCAAUUAGUUUGUUCUCCAAUACAAGGUCAUUCAGUCGCCGCUUUUCACGAGACCUUUUGGCAGCUUCAUUAUUUUUCCGCCGUUUUUCCCAAUACAUAGCAUCUUUCUUUUCAUCAGGAAUGAAUUCCCGCUUUCUCCGGCAUGCUGAAGACUUGUUUUUUACAGUGCCUCCAUCGCUGAGUAACAUUUCAUCACCAGUAGCUAGGUCAUCAGAUACAUCUGUUAAUGUAGAAUUAAGUGCCAUAAUUUUGUCCACAUUUCUACUUGAGUCAGCAGGUGCCUGUUCUGUUUUAAUGGACUGCAUUUUUCUCAGCUGCAUCAGAAGCAAUUUUAGUAGGUGUGCAAAUAGUAACAGGAUAAAUUAAUCUUCCAGGACUUCUUGAACCAUAACAACUGGAUAAAUACAAUAAUUUUAAAUCCAUAAGUAUUCUUCCAUUCAUUCUAUUGUCUCAAGCAUCAUGUUGUCUUGGUAACAUUUGCUUCUGAGUAAGUUCAGCUGCCAAUCUUCCAGAAAACCUGUGGCACACAAAAGAAUAACAAUUCAUUUAUUGAUUUUAUACACCUUUUUUAAAAUAAUUAUCAAAGCAUCUUUUAGUCAUUGACCCCACAACCAAGGAAAGAAAAAUCAAGUUAUAAAUCACGGGGUGAUUUUACCUUAUUAGACAUUUUAAUAAACAGUUAUAGUACUUGCAUACCUUAAAAGAAUUAAAAUAAUGUUAGUGGGAAGUUAUAUAACCUCUUCUUCUACACAAUACUGUCGCAGUUAAACUAAUGAUGUCAUCCUGAGGAUAUUUGUAAUCCUAAACUGACUACAACUACUUUAACAAACCUAUCAUGGCUAAAAAGAAGUGACCAUCCUUAACACCAAGUUUACAUCAGGUCAAAAAGUUAUACUUUCCAUACCAGAUAAGCUUUGGUUCCAAUACUGUAUAAUGAAAACACUUAGCAAUAUUUAUGUGAACUUUUGAACUCCUAUGUGUUCCUGUCAGACAUCUAUUGCAGUUUCCCUUGAGUUUUGUCUUUUAUGCUAAUCAGAUUUUAGUUAAGUCACUUUCCUUAAUGUGAUUCCCCACUGUAGUUCAUAUGCUUAUAAAAUUAGUUCAUUUUUCACUGGAAAACUUUAAAUGGAUUGCUGGUGGCUGAUUCUGCCCCAUAUGAGACUGUAACAUUAUUACACAUCAACGUUCUUAAUAAGUGUGCUGCGGAAGGAGGGAUCAGUUUGCUUGUCUGCUGAUUUGUCAUUUCCAUGAAUACAAUCUGCAUGUCCCCUGCCAAGAGAGUCAGAGGUUUGCUAUCUAGAAGUUUAAUCUGUUAAUUCUACAGACUCUGUGUAACAAAGGGCAUAAUCCUCUCUUGUGUGGGAGCAAUACCUGAGCAUGGAAGGCAUAACAAGACUCUGAUUCCCCCCCCCCAGCCUCAUCACAAGCAUGCACAACCAUGUGCAAUGUGGAAAGAACAGUGGCUAAGUGGUAGGGCAUUUGCUUUGCAUGCAAAAGAUCCCAGGUUCAGUCUUUGGUAGGGUUGGGGAAAACUCCUGUCUGAAACCCUGGAGAGUCACUGCCAGUCAGUGUAGACAAAACUGAGAUAAAUGGAUCAAUGAUCUCACUUGAUGUAAAGCAGCUUCCAAUGUUCCUAGAAGACCUUUGUGUGCAUCCCAUAUCCUUGUCAAGCCAGCCUCUAUUUGGUCAACUCAAGGAAUACCCCCAGUCCAUUCCUGCACCUGGAAAACUGCAGCCUGAUGAGGAGCCAGAAGGUUGAGCCAGCUAGCCCUGCCCUGGAGAGCACUGUAAGAACUUUACUAUCACUGUAGCUCUUUUCAGGGAGAAGCCUAUAAUGUGGGCAGUUGUCUUGUGGUUGGCAGCUGUGUUGGUGAGAGCACAAAUGCAGCUCAUGAACAUACAGUGUAAUUCAAGAUGUGCCUGGAUUUUUGCUAUUUUUAAAUUUUUAUUUAUUGUAUUGUGAUUUGCAUUUCCAUCUACUGUAGUUUUAUUGUAUUUUCUUUUGCAUUAAUCUCACAGCUUUGGAGGCCUUGGCCAAAAAGCGGUAUAGAAAUAAACAGAUGAUGAUGUUGAUGAUGAUAUUACUUGGCAAAGUCCUUUAAAAUGUAAUGCUAUCACAAUUCUGUAAUGGAGUAGUGUUCUGUUUUAAAGUUUUCCAGUGCACAAUGACCUAACAGUGGGUUUGAUCUCAACUUCUCCCUCCACGAACAUAAGGGUUCUUGCCAUUUAUAGAGGGAACCAAAAUCUAGCAGCAGGGUCAGAGAGAUAAUUUCUGCUGAUUCCCCCUGCAAUUCCAGCAGCACCUCCCAGGCUGAUCUAAAUGGUCCCCUAAACCUCUAGAGCAGUUUUAUAGGGGGCUGGAGAGUAACGAGAAAUCAAUAGAAAUCAGUUCUCCGCUCACUUUCUCCAGCAUGAGCAGAACUCUACUGAAUACAAAUCUGGAUCCAACCCAUUACACACAUAUUAAAUACAAAGGAGGGUGGUGAGAGUUGUGUCCUAGGUAUUUUACACUGGUUCUAGGAAUCUAAAAUAUUAAAGUCAGUAUGCUAGAUGGAAUGCUAUUUCCUACUCCUUUUUAUAUAUCCAAAUAUAUGUUCCACUCAUCUAAAUAAAUGCUAAUUUUGUUCUUUGUUUUGUGGUCUGUGUAUAGAAGCUCUA